This is a long non-coding RNA of Scylla paramamosain (green mud crab), 1064 nucleotides long. RefSeq lists it as uncharacterized. The transcript is spliced from 2 exons. The record is from RefSeq and is a predicted model, not a curated record. NCBI's taxonomy places the organism in Eukaryota, Metazoa, Arthropoda, Malacostraca, Decapoda, Portunidae.
GUUAGGGGUGUGGGAGGGCGGUGAAGUAUUUAAGGAGUCAUGUGUGAGUGUAGCUGCACACACUCCACAGUACCUUCCACCUGAGCUGUACACCUGAGUCUCACCUGAGCUUAUUACCUCAGCCAGCCAUGAAGGUCGCAUUUUUCUUCGCCGGGCUCCUCGUCCUCAUGUUCGUCGCCUCGUCCUUUGGGACUCCUGAGGUGUCAUCCCACGCCUCCUUCUCCUCGGGCGCCAGCCACGGACACAUUCCCGUGCACAGGCCCAGGCCCUACAGACCAGUGCACAGACCCCGCCCUCACAGCGGCGGGUAUGGCGGGUCAGCCGUUGGGAACGCAAACUUCAACCUUGGCGGUCCUCGUUACCACCGCUAGGGAGUAAGCGAGGGAGUUUUGGGUCUUCCUUUACUUGACUAACUGUUACUGUCUUUCACUGUACCCUCGUCGUGGGAUUUUUCCCCCAUUAUCUCUUCCUUUGUUCUCUAUACUCACUUCCCACGUAGUUUUCUUAUACUACUAUUCUUCUUUGAAUUCUUUCUGUUGUUUCGUUUUAUUUUAUGUUCUUUGCUAGUUUGUUAUUUUGUGUCUCAUUCCUACACGUCGUGCUCACACUAGUAUUCCUUCAACUUUUUUUUUAUCUUUUACUUUCUCAUCUAAUAUUUUUCCAUCUCUCCUUUUUCAUUCCUUUUUAUGUUAUGUUUUCGUUAAUUCCUUUUAUCACCUGUACCAUCUGUUCACACCUGUUGCCUCAUUAUUGCCUCAUCGCCUCACCUGUGUCUUCUCUCAGGUAUGGACUUUCUAAAAUCCAGCCUGUUUAGUAGCACACCUGUUGGUUAACCAUUUCCUUCAUGUGUAAGACCACACUUAUCUGUGUCUCUUAGUUAUUGCACACAUACUGUACACAUAGAAAAAAAAAUAAUAAAAUCAAUAUUGGCUACUUUUCGUUACCAUAGUUGUGUUAAACUUUAUUUUUCGCUGAUUAAUUUUCUUUGUUAACUCAAUACUUAUGAUAAUGUAACUCCAAAUUGUUCCAAAUUCUCAGUAUAAAAUAAAAUUAUGAAAAUACUA